GUAUGUCAGGAGGUGGAUGAGUUCAUCUAUGUGGCCAAUGCAGAGACAGGAAGAGGUAACACCAAGACUCCAACACAUUCCUCAUACUUGCUCCUAUUCCUAGGCCCUUGUUGCCAGCCAGAUAAUCUUGUCAAGCAAACUGACUCCUGCGCUCACAGAAUAUGAGCUAUCGCAACAUCAGGCUGGUUCCACCAGGCUACCUUCCAGGACCAGAGCCAGUGAAAGGUGGUGAGGGGGAGGCGUCUCAGAUCCAGGCAUUGGUGGACCCUGCCUAGUGUUCGUCCUCCAGAACCCUCCUGGUCCUGACUUUUGUGUCCAGAGAGGAACCAGACCCAAUCAGAACCACUAGUCCCAGUACUGCUAGAUUAAAGACCAGGAACCCCAGUGUGGAUAUUGCACAGAGGCUCUGCCUGUCCCUGCUACCCAACCUCUGUCUGUCUGUCUGUCUGUCUGUCUGUCUGUCUGUCUGUCUGUCUGUCUGUCUGUCUGUCUGUCUGUCUGUCUGUCUGUCUGUCUGUCUGUCUGCCUGCCUGCCUGCCUGCCUGCCUGCCUGCCUGCCUGCCUGCCUGCCGGAGUGCUCUGGUCUCAGACUGUAGCUAGCUGUCUAAGGAGCCUGUCUGCUGGGGUGCUCUGGUCUCAGGCAGUAGCUAGCUGUCUAAGGAGCCUGUCUGCUGGGGUGCUCUGGUCUUAGACUGUAGCUAGCUGUCAGAGGAUCCUGUCUGCUGGGGUGUUCUGGUCUCAGGCUGUAGCUAGCUGUCCAAGGAACCUGUCUGCUGGGGUGCUGUGGUCUCAGACUGUAGCUAGCUGUCAGAAGUUCCUGUCUGCUGGGGUGCUCUGGUCUCAGGCUGUAGCUAGCUGUCAGAGGAUCCUGUCUGCUGGGGUGCUCUGGUCUCAGACUGUAGCUAGCUGUCAGAGGAUCCUGUCUGCUGGGGUGUUCUGGUCUCAGGCUGUAGCUAGCUGUCCAAGGAUCCUGUCUGCUGGGGUGCUGUGGUCUCAGACUGUAGCUAGCUGUCAGAGGAUCCUGUCUGCUGGGGUGCUCUGGUCUCAGGCUGUAGCUAGCUGUCAGAGGAUCCUGUCUGCUGGGGUGCUCUGGUCUCAGGCUGUAGCUAGCUGUCAGAGGAUCCUGUCUGCUGGGGUGCUGUGGUCUCAGGCUGUAGCUAGCUGUCAGAGGAUCCUGUCUGCUGGGGUGCUGUGGUCUCAGGCUGUUGCUAGCUGUCAGAGGAUCCUGUCUGCUGGGGUGCUGUGGUCACAGGAUCCUGUCUGCUGGGGUGCUGUGGUCUCAGGCUGUAGCUAGCUGUCAGAGGAUCCUCUCUGCUGGGGUGCUGUGGUCUCAGGCUGUAGCUAGCUAUCUAAGGAACUACCUUCAGCACAAAUGCUUCUGAAGGAAUGUUCUACCUCUGAUGUGCCUUGUUUCAAUGAAUCGCAAAAGAAAAAGUCAUUAUUGGGUUAAUAUUAUUUAAUAACCCUGUCAAAAUGUUUUGGUGAAUAAAUUGUGGGUUGUGAAACAAAACAGAAGUGAAGAGAACUACUGUUUAACUGUAGCUACGGUACUUUAAUGAAGAUAAUGAAGGGUUUUGGUUAUGACAUUGUUUUCUUCUACUACUACUGCGUAGUUUAGAAGCAUUUAGAAUCAUAUUGAUGUGACAAGG
This 1649-nucleotide long non-coding RNA is filed under the name Salmo salar (Atlantic salmon). RNAcentral's name for it is "lncRNA (ENSSSAG00000099812.1)". The record is from RNAcentral. Lineage: Eukaryota; Metazoa; Chordata; Actinopteri; Salmoniformes; Salmonidae.